RNAcentral lists this ribosomal RNA (542 nucleotides) under uncultured archaeon. RNAcentral's name for it is "bacterial SSU rRNA". It matches the Rfam family "Archaeal small subunit ribosomal RNA", at positions 457 to 997 of the family's 1478-position model. The record is from RNAcentral.
GGCAGCCGCCGCGGGAACACCGGCGGCCCGAGUGGUGAUCGUGAUUAUUGGGUCUAAAGGGUCCGUAGCCGGUUUGGUCAGUCCUCCGGGAAAUCUGAUAGCUCAACUAUUAGGCUUUCGGGGGAUACUGCCAGACUUGGAACCGGGAGAGGUAAGAGGUACUACAGGGGUAGGAGUGAAAUCUUGUAAUCCCUGUGGGACCACCUGUGGCGAAGGCGUCUUACCAGAACGGGUUCGACGGUGAGGGACGAAAGCUGGGGGCACGAACCGGAUUAGAUACCCGGGUAGUCCCAGCCGUAAACGAUGCUCGCUAGGUGUCAGGCAUGGCGCGACCGUGUCUGGUGCCGCAGGGAAGCCGUGAAGCGAGCCACCUGGGAAGUACGGCCGCAAGGCUGAAACUUAAAGGAAUUGGCGGGGGAGCACAACAACGGGUGGAGCCCUGCGGUUUAAUUGGACUCAACGCCGGACAACUCACCGGGGGCGACAGCAAUAUGUAGGCCAAGCUGAAGACUUUGCCUGAAUCGCUGAGGAGUGGUGCAUGG